CUGGCGGCGUGCUUAACACAUGCAAGUCGAACGGAGAACCCUUGACGGAGUUUUCGGACAACGGAUAGGAAUUCUUAGUGGCGGACGGGUGAGUAACGCGUCGAGGAACCUGCCUUGGAGAGGGGAAUAACACAGAGAAAUUUGUGCUAAUACCGCAUGAUGCAGUUGGGUCGCAUGGCUCUGACUGCCAAAGAUUUUAUCGCUCUGAGAUGGCCUCGCGUCUGAUUAGCUAGUUGGUGGGGCAACGGCCCACCAAGGCGACGAUCAGUAGCCGGACUGAGAGGUUGACCGGCCACAUUGGGACUGAGACACGGCCCAGACUCCUACGGGAGGCAGCAGUGGGGAAUAUUGGGCAAUGGGCGCAAGCCUGACCCAGCAACGCCGCGUGAAGGAAGAAGGCUUUCGGGUUGUAAACUUCUUUUAUUAAGGACGAAACAAAUGACGGUACUUAAUGAAUAAGCUCCGGCUAACUACGUGCC
RNAcentral lists this ribosomal RNA (479 nucleotides) under uncultured bacterium. RNAcentral's name for it is "bacterial SSU rRNA". It matches the Rfam family "Bacterial small subunit ribosomal RNA", at positions 36 to 509 of the family's 1533-position model. The record is from RNAcentral.